Long non-coding RNA from Oncorhynchus tshawytscha (Chinook salmon), 3273 nucleotides. Lineage: Eukaryota; Metazoa; Chordata; Actinopteri; Salmoniformes; Salmonidae. The record is from Ensembl.
UCGAAGUUGCAUUUUUAUUUUAUGUACAAAGAAAGGUGUGUGGAAUACCAAAUCCACUAACGGGUGUAAAAAAGCAAACAAUUUGAAAUGCAUCACAUUAUGUAAAGUAAUCAGAUAACUUUUAGAAUGUGUUAGACCUUGUUUCCCCCACCAAAAUCCACAGACAAACAGUUAUGCAACUGUAUGCAAUUAUAGAAUGACAAGAGAGAUAAAACAGGUUCUGGGGAGGGUAGUGUAUUCCCAGGUGAAUCAGAUACAUGGCCUAAUCAGCUAAACAAGAUAACAUGUGAAAGUAUAAGAGUGUUUCACUUUCAUAUCAAAGUCACUCAAGACUAUAUCACAGACCAAAACCACAUAUCCUAAAAUAUUAUAGCCUUAUCACUGCAUUCUCCAUUUUUGAGAUCUCUCUUAUAUUGGAGUGGAAACCGACAAGACCACACAAUGAACGUAUAAAGGUUCUACAAAUGGGUUGCGCGGAGCUAUUGCAGGGGUUCCACAGCCAGAUCUCAAAAUGUAUUAAAAAAAACAGUUAACAGAUUUUGGCCAAGAAAUCCAUAGAACAAGUUUAGAGAGUGUAAUACAAUGUAAUAUUAUGAAUCUACGAUUUAUACUCUUAACCCUCGGCAACACGGACAUGGAAGGAUCACAGGGAUAUUGCUAGCCACAGUACUCCACCAAGGAGGGAAUCAGACAGAAGACCUGACCUGGGUACUGGAUGUGGAAAUGCACCACAUACAAGCAGUGGUGUAAAGCACUUAAGUAAACAUACUUUAAAGUACUACUUAGGUAGCUUUUUGGGGUAUCUGUACUAUAUUACAUAUAUUUGACAACUUUUACUUCACUACAUUCCUAAAGAAAAUAAUUUACUUUUUACUCUAUACUUUUUCUGUUACACCCAAAAGUAUUACAUUUUGAAUGCUUAGCAAGACAGAACAUCUUUCCAAUUCACACACAACCUGCUAUACAUGUUAAAAUUAAUGGGAAAAGUGCAUUGUCUGAAAAUAAUUUAUAUAUUCAAGCAACAGACCUAUAAAUCAUGAAACAAGUUACGUGUUUUAAUGUAGCCUUUUUUAUGGGGCCCAAGGAACACUCUCAAGAAGAAACCCAGUCAGCACCCCCAGCCACCAGGGGUGAGGCAGACUGCUGACCAAUCCCCAAAAACAUGGCCGACUGCAUCACAACAGGAAGAGUAUCACAUGAAAAGGGUCGUCAGUAGCUUUUAUAGACACAGUCACAAACCAUGCCCAUUUCCACAAUUUAUCUUCUUAAAAUUAGAUUUUCAACCUAACCUUAUGCCUAACACUAACUUUAAACCAAAAAUUAAUUUUGUAGCUAAUUUUGACUUUGUGGCUGUGGAACCCGACGUUGUGACUGUGGAACAGGACCUUGGGACGAUAGAAACUAGUGGAAACCAAUGAGAAGGGCUAAUCAUUUUCAUGGCCAGACGGUCAGGAACAACUAUGGGCCCAAGUUAUAGAUAGGGUGAAGAGAUUUUCCUGUUAAAGUCAGGAAAAACUCCUGGCUCUAAACAACAAUUAUUCAAUGAUGGGAAUUGGUCAUAAUCAGCUAACUGCGCAGUAACAGUGACAUGAAAUACGACAAAAUUAGGAUAAUGUAUGCACUUUAAGUUAUUUAGCUCGACUAUCAAAUAGAAAGAAAAAUGUACUAAAAUAACAUAAGUUCCAAAGGUGGACUAACCAGCCAUAAUCUCCCCAUUGCACCCAGUGAAAUACCCACCUCCUGCAUUGAGAGAACAGCUAAUCAGUGGUAAGAGUACAGGUUAAUAAUAGAAGCACACCUUAUAUAACAGCCAUGGAGAGGAUUUACAGAAAACAACAGCACCCCAUUAAACACAGCAUCCAUCCACACAUACACAGGUAAUAACCAAACAUCCAUACCAGCAGCUUAGAGAAACCGUAUUUUACAGCAUCAGCAUCUUCAGAGUAUGAUCAUGUAUGAGAUGUAGAUGAGUGGGGCGUUACCUGGAGAAGGUCUGAGAGAGGCCAUUAUGGGCUGAAGUAUAGCCAGGGCUGGGACAGUACAAAUUCAACCACACCUUUGUUUCAUCACAAAACCGGAGAGCAACAGCUGUCUGGUGAAGUCCACAAAGCAUGUGGUAUUAAAUGACCUACAGCAGGGUCAAGCAGGUUAAUGUUUCCGCCAUUUUCGGACUAGUAAACAACUAUUAAUUUAGAACCACAGAGUGUUAUCACAAGUCACAAAGAAAACAGGAGCUGCCUCCACUAUUCCAGUACCAUUUCAACAUCAUCAUAUAAUCUAUGCUUUCCGUUACACCCAAAAGUAUUAUAUUUUGAAUGCUUAGCAAGACAGAACAUUUUUCCAAUUCACACAUAACUAAUCCCUGGUCAUCCUUACUGAUCUAGCAGACUCACUAAACACAAAUGCUUCCUUUGUAAAUGAUGUCUUGAGUGUUAGAGUGUGCACCUGACUAUCCAUAAAUAAAUAAAAAGAACAAGAAAAUGGUGCCAUCUGGUUUGCUUAAUAUAAGGAAUUUUAAAUGAUUUAUACUUUUACUUUCGAUACUUAAAUAUAUUUUAGCAGUUGUUUACUUUUGAUACUUAGGUAUAUUUAAAACCAAAUACUUUUAGACUUUUACUGAAGUAGUUUUUUAUUGGGUGACUUUCAUUUUCUAUUAAGGCAUCUUUACUUUUACUCAAGUAUGACAAUUGGGUUAUUUUUCCACCACUGCAUACAGGAUUAUCACCCAAUUGUAUUUUUAUUUUAUUACCAUUUUAAUAUUAAUUGUACAACAAGUAUGCUGGCAGGCUUGGGUUACCACAAAACCCAGCUCUCAAAAAUAAAAUAUUCUGGGGAAAAAAACAGACUCAACACAUAUAUACAUAUAUAUAUAUAUAUAUAUAUAUAUAUAUAUACACUGCCAUCCUCCGGCGCCCUAGGCUCCCUGCCUAUAAGCAAUCUCACUCCACACUCAAUUUGGCAAACAUGGUUCUUCGCAUGUGUUCUGUAAAUCUGCAUGCUGUCCUACACUGUCGGUGAAAGGUUGCGAUGCUCCCUGGGUUGGUAGGGUGGCCAUGUCCUCCUCAGCCUUUCUCUUCCUUGGGGAAAGGGUCAGUGUGAGAUCUUUAUCCUGUGGGACAAGUCCUUUCAUUUCCUGCAAUAGGCUUUGCAGAUGUGAAGACAGGCCAGUCAUGUACUGUUCAUCUUGAAGAUGAUAGGUGAGGUCUGUGAUUUCUUUUAGAUAGCCUGCACAUUGCUUCUGCAACAUCUUCAAGUUCUUCUUAGAGGACCUCU